UCCGAGAGGCCCAACCGUUAUUCGGAAUUACUGGGCUUAAAGAGUUCGUAGGCGGCGCAGCAAGUAGGGUGUGAAAGCCCUCGGCUCAACCGAGGAAUUGCGCUCUAAACUACUGUGCUUGAGGAACCUAGAGGUGAGCAGAACUGAUGGUGGAGCGGUGAAAUGCGUUGAUAUCAUCAGGAAUACCGGAGGCGAAGGCGGCUCACUGGGGGUUUUCUGACGCUGAGGAACGAAAGCCAGGGGAGCGAACGGG
Molecule: ribosomal RNA, 253 nt
Filed under: uncultured bacterium
Lineage: Bacteria
Description: partial 16S ribosomal RNA
Rfam family: Bacterial small subunit ribosomal RNA
Source: RNAcentral